GAAGAGUUAGUCCUGGCAGCUUAGGGUUUAAGAUGAAAAAUACCAUCUGAAUACCUUUCCUCUGGAGGCAAGAGUAGGUGCAUCAAAUUCAAGGUCAGGAGAGGCGUGGGCAAGACUACCUUCCCCUGGCAAAGUGGUCUUUGACACUGAACAUCCUUUUGGAGCCUGUAGGAAAUGCUGUUAUGUUAUAAAGGACAAACUGGUCUGUCCUGGAAACUGUGGAAAGGCUCUACUUACCAGAGCAGGGAAUACUUUGAACUUGGAAGAGGUGUCUUUGUGGGUUUCUACCAUAGCCUUAUUUUAUAACUUUUUUUUCCUCUUUUUUAGAUAGAAGAGUUUCAAGUAACCAAGGCUAGCUUGGACACUCCUUAUGCUGCUGAGGAGCUUGAGUUUCUCCCAGGUGCCAAGAUUAUAGGCACGCACCACCACACCUGGUUUGAGAGACACCGGGGGACUGAACCCAGCCCUUUGUGGGUGUUAGGCAGCCGACCGAGCUACGUCGUGGUACAUCGUUCUAGAACUUGACAGAUGCAGAUUCUGAAGUGCUAACCCUUGCUCACGCUGUGCAGGUGCUGUGAAAGGACAGUGGACACACCCCCGCUCAAGUGUCUUCACGCCAAGGAAACAAGAGGUGAAGGGCAGGGAGGAGCCGAGUCUGGAGGUUCUACGGUGAAGGGUCACAUCAGGAUGGAGGCUGGAGGGACCCCAGGUGGGCUUCCCACAGGUCUCAAGGGAGGAUACAUCUUACAGCAUUUGGCUUCUGGGACCAAAGCAAAAGGGCUUAAGAACUGCUUAAGACCUCAGUGUAUCUCUCCACCACCUGAAACACUUAUUUCUUGGCCAAGGCUCUAUGGUUCCAGGGGCUACCAUCCUGAGAACUCGUGUCUGGGGUGAUAAAAAGGGGUGCUUCCCGAAUAGUUCCUGAAGCAAGAGUAACCACCGGCUUUAUGCUGGCCCAUGUGUCCCCACAGCCGUAGACUGCACCAGCGCGCACAAAAUAAGACUAAAUAAAUCACAAAUUUGCCUUCUUCUGGAUGCUUCU
This 1042-nucleotide long non-coding RNA is filed under the name Meriones unguiculatus (Mongolian gerbil). Its description in RNAcentral is "lncRNA (ENSMUGG00000008753.1)". The record is from RNAcentral. Lineage: Eukaryota; Metazoa; Chordata; Mammalia; Rodentia; Muridae.